UGCGGUGGGUCCGCGCUGACUGCUUUUUUUCUUACACAUGUGUUUUUCUUUUUUUGAAAACUUUGCUUUGGUAGGCCUUCUAUAUGGGGCCUGCCAGAGAUUAAACUCAACCAAAUUUUAUUUAAUGUCAACCGAUUAUUUAAUAGUCAAAACUUUCAACAACGGAUCUCUUGGUUCUCGCAUCGAUGAAGAACGCAGCGAAAUGCGAUAAGUAAUAUGAAUUGCAGAUAUUCGUGAAUCAUCGAAUCUUUGAACGCACAUUGCGCCCUUUGGUAUUCCAAAGGGCAUGCCUGUUUGAGCGUCAUUUCUCCCUCAAACCCUCGGGUUUGGUGUUGAGCGAUACGCUGGGUUUGCUUGAAAGAAAGGCGGAGUAUAAACUAAUGGAUAGGUUUUUUCCACUCAUUGGUACAAACUCCAAAACUUCUUCCAAAUUCGACCUCAAAUCAGGUAGGACUACCCGCUGAACUUAAGCAUAUCAAUAAGCGGAGGAA
Molecule: ribosomal RNA, 491 nt
Filed under: Lodderomyces parapsilosis
Lineage: Eukaryota; Fungi; Ascomycota; Pichiomycetes; Serinales; Debaryomycetaceae
Description: eukaryotic LSU rRNA
Rfam family: 5.8S ribosomal RNA (bases 151-304)
Source: RNAcentral